UUGAACGCUGGCGGAAUGCUUUACACAUGCAAGUCGAGCGGCAGCGCGGGGCGAACCUGGCGGCGAGCGGCGAACGGGUGAGUAGACAUCGGAACGUGCCCAGACGUGGGGGAUAACUACUCGAAAGAGUAGCUAAUACCGCAUACGAUCUAAGGAUGAAAGCGGGGGAUCGCAAGACCUCGCGCGUUUGGAGCGGCCGAUGGCAGGAUUAGGUAGUUGGUGGGGUAAAGGCUUACCAAGCCUGCGAUCUGUAGCUGGUCUGAGAGGACGACCAGCCACACUGGGACUGAGACACGGCCCCAGACUCCUACGGGAGGCAGCAGUGGGGAAUUUUGGACAAUGGGCGAAAGCCUGAUCCAGCCAUUCCGCGUGCAGGAUGAAGGCCCUCGGGUUGUAAACUGCUUUUGUACAGAACGAAAAAAGCUCUGGUUAAUACCUGGAGUCCAUGACGGUACUGUAAGAAUAAGCACCGGCUAACUACGUGCCAGCAGCCGCGGUAAUACGUAGGGUGCAAGC
RNAcentral lists this ribosomal RNA (516 nucleotides) under uncultured bacterium. RNAcentral describes it as "bacterial SSU rRNA". It matches the Rfam family "Bacterial small subunit ribosomal RNA", at positions 29 to 539 of the family's 1533-position model. The record is from RNAcentral.